This 492-nucleotide ribosomal RNA is filed under the name uncultured bacterium. RNAcentral's name for it is "partial 16S ribosomal RNA". It matches the Rfam family "Bacterial small subunit ribosomal RNA", at positions 29 to 507 of the family's 1533-position model. The record is from RNAcentral.
AGUGAACGCUGGCGGUAGGCCUAACACAUGCAAGUCGAACGGCAGCACAGUAAGAGCUUGCUCUUACGGGUGGCGAGUGGCGGACGGGUGAGGAAUACAUCGGCAUCUACUUUUUCGUGGGGGAUAACGUAGGGAAACUUACGCUAAUACCGCAUACGACCUACGGGUGAAAGCAGGGGAUCUUCGGACCUUGCGCGAUUGAAUGAGCCGAUGUCGGAUUAGCUAGUUGGCGGGGUAAAGGCCCACCAAGGCGACGAUCCGUAGCUGGUCUGAGAGGAUGAUCAGCCACACUGGAACUGAGACACGGUCCAGACUCCUACGGGAGGCAGCAGUGGGGAAUAUUGGACAAUGGGCGCAAGCCUGAUCCAGCCAUACCGCGUGGGCGAAGAAGGCCUUCGGGUUGUAAAGCCCUUUUGUUGGGAAAGAAAAGCAGCAGGUUAAUACCCCGCUGUUCUGACGGUACCCAAAGAAUAAGCACCGGCUAACUUCGUG